UGACACGUCUGACUAGUGCCGUCACCGAACGGUCGGCAGGCGAUCCGCGUCGGUCGUGCUGAGGUGGUAUGGUUCCCCAGAGGCCGGUUCUUGUGCUGCCUACCCCUUCAAGGGAAGGGGCCACUUGAUGUAAGCCUUCCUUCCGGGCCCUUCCAAGGGGGGCAGGAGGACAACAGACCCCCCCCCGCGUUCCCCCCACCCUUUUCGGUCGCGUGGCCCGCGGGGACGUGCGAUGCUUUCGGACCCAGCGAACGCCGUGGGCGAGGACUCACGUCCCAGUCCCGAAAAAAAGCUCCGAUAUAAUCCAUGACGCCCGCCCCCCCCCCCCGCCCCCCCGGGGGGCGGGGGGCGAGGCGCGGCGUCGCAGAGGAAUGCUACCUGGUGAUCCUGCCAGUGUGAUGUGGUACAGCC
This 411-nucleotide unclassified non-coding RNA is filed under the name Acacia covenyi. Its description in RNAcentral is "partial external transcribed spacer". Lineage: Eukaryota; Viridiplantae; Streptophyta; Magnoliopsida; Fabales; Fabaceae. The record is from RNAcentral.